GUUUGUCCUUCUAUCUAUUGGUCUCUUCUAAAGAUAUCAUUUAAACACAAGUUCUGAAAGAAGUGUGGAUUAUAUAAGAAUGUAAGAAGUGAUUGGCUGUAAAGAUGAAAAUGGUCACAUCAGGGGUGGUAUAGUACGUCAUCAACAGGUGCACGCAACACUUCCCGAUGCGGCUUUUUUAUGUCAAAACACCUCGAUUCGAUCACAACAAAAACACCUGAGAUAUUCUGUUUAUCAGAAUUAAAUUCUGAAGCAGCUAAACACUUGGGGUUCAGCAGUAUGAUAUCCGUAGACAGAUGAACAUAAAAUGCAUAUAGAAAUUCAUGCAUUUCUCGGGAAUAAAAUGACACGUCCAAAAAAUCAGAAUUGUAGAAAGAACAAUACCUGCUUGUUGUGGAUGUUUGUGAAAAAGUCAGAAAUGAAGACCACAAAAGUAGUUGUUGUUUGAGGUUCACUCACUGGCAAUAUGUGCAGACACCGUUUAAAACAGCUCACUGUUACGUGUGACCACUACCGUACAAUAUUUAGCCAUGGACAGCUUUUGUAGACGGAAUUUAAUGUGAUUUUGCGUGACUUCAAACAAUUGUGAUUUUUUUUAUUGAAACAUGCUUUGUUUUGUCUGCCUGUGUUGAAGUCACAGAGUCUUGUCAGUGCCUCUCCUUUCUUCUAAAUAACAUUUGACAGAUUUUGGUGAAAGGCAACAGCAGUAUUAAACUUUGUAUGAAAUGUAGUUGACAUAAUGCUCAUAACGGGUAUAACACAACAAUGUAAAUAUUCUUGUUAUCUCUAUGUUUCGGUCAAUAAACGUUCACAGAUUAUACUACAUUGCCACUUUA
Molecule: long non-coding RNA, 836 nt
Organism: Mercenaria mercenaria
Lineage: Eukaryota; Metazoa; Mollusca; Bivalvia; Venerida; Veneridae
Exons: 3
Source: RefSeq, a predicted model, not a curated record